RNAcentral lists this small RNA (134 nucleotides) under Salmonella enterica subsp. houtenae serovar 44:z4,z23:-. RNAcentral's name for it is "RtT sRNA". It matches the Rfam family "RtT RNA". Rfam says of the family: This family represents a bacterial cis-regulatory element known as RtT RNA. The exact function of RtT is unknown although it is thought that it may be involved in changing the cellular response in relation to amino acid starvation. Lineage: Bacteria; Pseudomonadati; Pseudomonadota; Gammaproteobacteria; Enterobacterales; Enterobacteriaceae. The record is from RNAcentral. RNAcentral also lists the same sequence under 2 other names.
UGUAUCUGAAGCCUGAAGAGGAUGAGAACCUCCGGGGGCAAGAGGUUCGACUCGAGCGCAGCGAGAGAACGUUGCGUCAGCAACGGCCCGCAGGGCGAGCCACGCAGUGGCGAGUCAUCCUCUAUCACCGACAG